RNAcentral lists this ribosomal RNA (489 nucleotides) under uncultured bacterium. RNAcentral describes it as "partial 16S ribosomal RNA". It matches the Rfam family "Bacterial small subunit ribosomal RNA", at positions 30 to 506 of the family's 1533-position model. The record is from RNAcentral.
AUUGAACGCUGGCGGCAGGCCUAACACAUGCAAGUCGAACGGUAACAGGAAGCAGCUUGCUGCUUCGCUGACGAGUGGCGGACGGGUGAGUAAUGUCUGGGAAGCUGCCUGAUGGAGGGGGAUAACUACUGGAAACGGUAGCUAAUACCGCAUAAUGUCGCAAGACCAAAGAGGGGGACCUUCGGGCCUCUUGCCAUCGGAUGUGCCCAGAUGGGAUUAGCUUGUUGGUGGGGUAACGGCUCACCAAGGCGACGAUCCCUAGCUGGUCUGAGAGGAUGACCAGCCACACUGGAACUGAGACACGGUCCAGACUCCUACGGGAGGCAGCAGUGGGGAAUAUUGCACAAUGGGCGCAAGCCCGAUGCAGCCAUGCCGCGUGUAUGAAGAAGGCCUUCGGGUUGUAAAGUACUUUCAGCGGGGAGGAAGGGAGUAAAGUUAAUACCUUUGCUCAUUGACGUUACCCGCAGAAGAAGCACCGGCUAACUCCGU